UACGUAGGGGGCAAGCGUUGUCCGGACUUACUGGGCGUAAAGCGUGUGCAGGCGGGCCGCUAUGUGCCGUGUGAAAGCUCUCAGCUUAUCUGGGAGAGGUCGCGGUAGACAGGCAGCCUGGAGGCUCGGAGAGGUCAGUGGAAUUCUCGGUGUAGUGGUGGAAUGCGCAGAUAUCGGGAGGAACACCAGUGGCGAAGGCGACUACCUGGCCUGUUUCUUGACGCUGAGGCGCGAAAGCUAGGGGAGCAAACGGG
This 254-nucleotide ribosomal RNA is filed under the name uncultured bacterium. RNAcentral describes it as "partial 16S ribosomal RNA". It matches the Rfam family "Bacterial small subunit ribosomal RNA", at positions 524 to 776 of the family's 1533-position model. The record is from RNAcentral.